GUGUGCUUAGCGUCGUAUUAGCAUUAGCUAGUCCGGUUUAACACACACAUAUCACUUUUGCCUGUAACAGGGUUAACAAAAUGAUGUAGAUGUUUGUUUUCAUUUAAAUAUCUAAAAAAACAGUUAGAGCGUAAGCAUGUCAAUUAUUGAAUUUAGCACAAUCUAUGAGUUUAUACUAUUGAAACAUAGAAUUUCAAGCGAAACAACUUUGUGAUUUUUUUUUUUCCUCUUCAUUAUCGGAAAUAUACCCAUAAUUAUAGAAUCACUCGAAUCUUCUUGUUGCCACGAAUCUCUGAAACAACCUCACUGUAUUUUAAAGUCAGGAAUAUGGUUUAAUUUAUUGACAUCUAAUUUUUGUUUUCAAUUAGAUAAUAUUGGGUUUAUUUAAAUACAUUUUGACUGGUGGUCAUAAUUCUCCAUCCAUCGUGUAGUUUAAUCUAUAAUUUACCUUUAAACUUUAAUUUAAUAAUAGGAAUUUUAAAAUGUUUGGAGCAGAUAAAGAUGUGUGAUUAAUUUGUGAUUAAUUAUGAUUAACCAGAGUUAGUAUAGUGUUUGUAUGUGUAUUUAGUGUGGCUGUCAAACUAUUAGAUUUUUGUAACUAGUUAAUAACAAUAUUACUGUGUGAUUAAUUAUGAUUAGUCAUGAUCAAAAUACUAAAAUGACUUGUAUUUUGAUGUUCUCCUUUUCUUUGAGCAUGCUGUGACUGCAAGGGGAGAGGCUGGGUGUCCUAGUCUGUGCAAGACUUAAGAUUUGAGGCAGAGUUAUUUAAAUAUCCAGACGACAUACACUCAGGAAAUUCAAGACCAAGUGUGUGGAGCCAUUCACCUCAACUUCCAUUAGUUCACAAAAGUGUCCCAGAAAAGGGGGUCAUCUGCCAGUGACAGGCCUGAGUGUAUAAAUAUAUGUAAGGAUGACAUGAAAAGUUUUUGGUUUGCUGCAAAAGUUCCCUGAGCUGGAUGCUCAAUCAUCAAAACUGCUCAAGUUUUUUGGCAAGAAGGGUGGUGCUGAGGGAAGAAAGGUCAAGAUCAUCCUGAUGCCCCUGAUCCAGACUGACAACAUUGAUGUGAAAAGAGAGUGCCUCCAUCAGGCGCUGUUGGUCUACCUGAACGAAGACCCAGAGAAAGUGGUGAAAUAACACAUGGGCUCUGAUGUUGACAACGGUCAAGCUGAAAUGGAGACUGUCUUCAGAGUAUUUGUGAUUCGCAGAGAAGGUGCAGAACGUGACGAUGGUCCAGAGGAUGUGGGUGUGGAGGGGGUACAAGUCCUCAUUGAGCUGGGUAAUGGAGCAGUUGCAAUGCUGUUUGCUUUAGUUUAUGCACUCAAUCUCAGCUACCCCCCAGAGUGGAAAUACACUUUCAAAGCUCUGCAGAAAUUCAUCAUGAGGGUUGAUGGACAGAGGUUCUCUAAGAAACUGCAGGUGCUGAAAACCCUACUUACGUGUUAAUAUUUUGCAGGGUAACUUGUCUUCAACAAUGAAAGUAUCCCGGAGUCAUGUUGGGGAGCCGUUCAGUCAAUAUUAGUUUUUAAAAAUGACAGUCUGUUUUUAUGUUUCAAUGCUCCCAAUUGUUGCAAAAAUGUGGAGAAGCUUUCUGUUCCUUGUUGAUCUAUUUCUGUGUUAACAGUGCUUCAAAUUGUUGCCUUGUUUGAAUUUGAAAGUCAUGUGUAUGGGUAUUUCAGACUAUUUUUCCAUACAAAAGCAAAGAUGAUAAUAGGUAAAUCCGUUUCAUCUGAUUUAAAAUUUUAAAAUGAGACUGUAUUUUAGCAUUGCAUAUUAUAGCAUCAAAAUACUCGUACUCGUCGGCUUCUGCUUCUUCCGGGACCGGGUCGCGGGGGCAGCAGACUCAGCAGAGACACCCAGACGUCCCUCUCCCCAGACACCUCCUCCAACUCCUCCGGGGAGAGCCCAA
This is a long non-coding RNA of Girardinichthys multiradiatus, 1907 nucleotides long. RefSeq lists it as uncharacterized. Lineage: Eukaryota; Metazoa; Chordata; Actinopteri; Cyprinodontiformes; Goodeidae. The record is from RefSeq and is a predicted model, not a curated record. The transcript has 4 exons.